RNAcentral lists this ribosomal RNA (487 nucleotides) under uncultured bacterium. Its description in RNAcentral is "bacterial SSU rRNA". It matches the Rfam family "Bacterial small subunit ribosomal RNA", at positions 355 to 859 of the family's 1533-position model. The record is from RNAcentral.
UGGGGAAUCUUGCACAAUGGGCGAAAGCCUGAUGCAGCAACGCCGCGUGCGGGAAGACAGCCCUAGGGUUGUAAACCGCUUUCAGCAGGGAAGAAACUGACGGUACCUGCAGAAGAAGAUGCGGCCAACUACGUGCCAGCAGCCGCGGUGACACGUAGGCAUCAAGCGUUAUCCGGAUUUAUUGGGCGUAAAGAGCUCGUAGGCGGUUCGGUAAGUCGGGUGUGAAAACUCUGGGCUCAACCCAGAGAGGCCACUCGAUACUGCUGUGACUAGAGUGCGGUAGGGGAGCGGGGAAUUCCUGGUGUAGCGGUGAAAUGCGCAGAUAUCAGGAGGAACACCAGUGGCGAAGGCGCCGCUCUGGGCCGUAACUGACGCUGAGGAGCGAAAGCAUGGGUAGCAAACAGGAUUAGAUACCCUGGUAGUCCAUGCCGUAAACGAUGAGUGCUAGAUGUUGGGAUUUUCGGAUUUCAGUGUCGCAGCUAACGCA